RNAcentral lists this ribosomal RNA (692 nucleotides) under uncultured bacterium. RNAcentral's name for it is "bacterial SSU rRNA". It matches the Rfam family "Bacterial small subunit ribosomal RNA", at positions 62 to 748 of the family's 1533-position model. The record is from RNAcentral.
UCGAGCGAGAAGACGUAGCAAUACGUUUGUAAAGCGGCGAACGGGUGAGGAAUACAUGGGUGACCUACCCUCGAGCGGGGAAUAACUAGCCGAAAGGUUAGCUAAUACCGCAUACGACUCUCGGUCUGCGGAUCGGGAGAGAAAGCGAUACCGUGGGUAUCGCGCUCCUGGAUGGACUCAUGUCCUAUCAGCUUGUUGGUGAGGUAACGGCUCACCAAGGCUUCGACGGGUAGCUGGUCUGAGAGGACGAUCAGCCACACUGGCACUGCGACACGGGCCAGACUCCUACGGGAGGCAGCAGUAAGGAAUAUUGCGCAAUGGGCGACAGCCUGACGCAGCGACGCCGCGUGGGGGAUGAAGGUCUUCGGAUUGUAAACCCCUUUCGGCAGGGAAGAUGGAACGGGUAACCGUUCGGACGGUACCUGCAGAAGCAGCCACGGCUAACUUCGUGCCAGCAGCCGCGGUAAUACGAAGGUGGCAAGCGUUAUUCGGAUUUACUGGGCGUACAGGGAGCGUAGGCGGUUGGGUAAGCCCUCCGUGAAAUCUCCGGGCCUAACCCGGAAAGGGCGGAGGGGACUGCUCGGCUAGAGGAUGGGAGAGGAGCGCGGAAUUCCCGGUGUAGCGGUGAAAUGCGUAGAGAUCGGGAGGAAGGCCGGUGGCGAAGGCGGCGCUCUGGAACAUUUCUGACGCUG